This 307-nucleotide long non-coding RNA is filed under the name Elaeis guineensis (African oil palm). RNAcentral describes it as "long non-coding RNA (EGUI_LNC070389)". The record is from RNAcentral. Lineage: Eukaryota; Viridiplantae; Streptophyta; Magnoliopsida; Arecales; Arecaceae.
UUGAUCCAAUCAAGCUCAAACUAAAUUUAAUUAAAUUAUAUUUAAUUUAACUUAAUCUCAACUCAUUGGCUUAAUCAAAUUAGGCCAAUUAGCAAUCAAAUUGCUAAUCGAUCCUCCUGCAACACUUGUACUAGAUUAAAUGUCAAUCGUAUUGAUCAUUUAACCCUAGAAUGAUUCUCAAUCGUUGAUCAACCAUCCGAUCGGAUCGUGAACUCUAAUGUGUGUGACCUCAUAGGUUUAAACCUAAGUCGGAAGUAUAGAAAUAAAUUUUUAUACCAAUCGAAGUGACUAUCUAGCAAUGGUACCC